This 370-nucleotide unclassified non-coding RNA is filed under the name Hevea brasiliensis (rubber tree). The record is from RNAcentral. Lineage: Eukaryota; Viridiplantae; Streptophyta; Magnoliopsida; Malpighiales; Euphorbiaceae.
GUCAAAAAAAAAAAAAAUUUAAGAUACUAUUGAAAAAAGUUGUUUAGUUAUUUUGGAUUUCUUAUAACUAAAACAUGUCAAUUUAACUUUAAGCUAGUUUUCAAUACCAUCUAACUAUCAUAUUCAAGGAGAUGUUUUUCCUAACAACAGCUCCAAUAAUAAUACUAAACAGACCCUAAGAUUUUUAAGGACAUUUAUGGGGUAAACCUCUACUAAAGCGAUUGCCAAUUACAAUGAACAGUUGGAUCUUGUACCAUAUUUUACUGUAUUUAUAUGAAUAUAUAAAGAAUAUUAAGGAAAUUGAAAGUAUAAAAUAAUAAACCUUAUGCUAGAGGCGUUGCCAGCAGUAACUGUGCCUCCAUUCUCUUUG